This 469-nucleotide ribosomal RNA is filed under the name uncultured bacterium. RNAcentral's name for it is "bacterial SSU rRNA". It matches the Rfam family "Bacterial small subunit ribosomal RNA", at positions 28 to 507 of the family's 1533-position model. The record is from RNAcentral.
GAUGAACGCUGGCGGCAUGCCUAAAACAUGCAAGUCGAGCGGUAAGGCCCCUUCGGGGGUACACGAGCGGCGGACGGGUGAGUAACGCGUGGGAAUCUACCCCAAACUGAGGGAUAAGCAUUGGAAACGAUGUCUAAUACCGCAUAUGGUCUUCGGAUUAAAGCUUCGGCGGUUUGGGAAGAGCCCGCGUAAGAUUAGCUAGUUGGUGAGGUAAAGGCUCACCAAGGCGACGAUCUUUAACUGGUUUGAGAGGAUGAUCAGUCACACUGGAACUGAGACACGGUCCAGACUCCUACGGGAGGCAGCAGUGGGGAAUUUUUGGACAAUGGACGCAAGUCUGAUCCAGCCAUUCCGCGUGCAGGACGAAGGCCUUCGGGUUGUAAACUGCUUUUGUACGGAACGAAACGGCUCUGGUUAAUACCUGGGGCUAAUGACGGUACCGUAAGAAUAAGCACCGGCUAACUACGUG